This 1242-nucleotide long non-coding RNA is filed under the name Strigops habroptila (Kakapo). Its description in RNAcentral is "lncRNA (ENSSHBG00005008300.1)". The record is from RNAcentral. Lineage: Eukaryota; Metazoa; Chordata; Aves; Psittaciformes; Psittacidae.
UUUUCCAGGUAUCUUUUUAUUUAUUUUUCAUUCACUUGCUUCUGCUAGUUGUAGCAUAACACAUUAUGAGCAGGAGAUUCUGAAGAAGUGGCAAGGCUUCCAUCACAUCAACGAAGAUUGCCGUCUUACGUCAGCUCAGGGAAGUCUUGAUAAACAGGAAUGUGCAGGACUGUAACACUUCUACAAAACAGUUCUAUGGCAGCAUGUAUGGUGACUUCCCUGUUAUUAGUAAUAAAAUGCCUUUGUAGAUAUGUUACUGAUAACUAAAAGUUCAUUAGGACGUCUUUCGUAAUGAAGGCCAAGGUUUAUAUUUCUAGGCAGACUGAUAGGACCUGGCUCCAAGCAGUUUACAUUUUUGAAGUUGACACACACAACUCUUUCUUCUUUCAAGAUGAGCAAUACGCAGUAGGGAAAACUGUCCCUGUGAAAUUUUUGCCAAUAAAAUUCUUUAAGAUGAUGCAGCUGCACUUUCAGAUAUUUUUCUGCCAAUCUAUAUCCAGAUAUCCAAAGAGGGCCACUGAUUAAUGCUCUAAGUCCAGGAGAGGGUUACACAUAAACCUACUAUUUGUUCAUCUCCUCUUUCACAUCAUUAAUAAAGUGGAGCAACUUCUGGCUUGAACGGAAGUUUGUGUGUUUGUGACAUACUUGAAGAGAAUGAAUGGCACCUUUUCUUUCAUGAUCAUCACAGGCACUCUCCAUCUCAACAUCUGUUUGGAAGACACUGUUCAAAGGAAUCCAAAAGAGUUUAGUUAGGAGAGAAACAUGGGGUGGCAGCAUUUCUCCAGGGUAAAAGGUUUAACAGGAUGCCGCUUAUGCCACAAGGCUAGGAUUAAGUGACUUUUGGGGGCCACAUGUACGUAACCCUUGUGUUGCAGGAUUACCUUCAUCCUUUUUGCCUAUUGACAAACCAAACUGAUCAGAGAGCAUAAAUGCGAUCUCAACACCCUCCCAGUUUAAACAAACCUGGGAUUAAUCCACUGUCCUUUGCAAAAAGUAGUUGUCCUCAGUCUAGGUCAUAUUCAAUCCAUCAUGGACAUCACUAUCUGCAACAGGAGUAACAGGGUGUCGGUACCCAGAUUUAGUAGCCGAAUACUGACAAAAACAGGGACAUGCUUUCGGCACAGACUGGCUCCCACAGCUGUGGGACAUACAGCCAUCUAGUGGCUCGUUCUUCGGUGAGACACCACUGGACAGGGUAGUGGUCCAAAUUUUAACCUCAUGCUAUACAUUAUUUCUAUGCAC